UCUCCGUUGGUGAACCAGCGGAGGGAUCAUUGCUGGAACGCGCUUCGGCGCACCCAGAAACCCUUUGUGAACAUACCUAUAACUGUUGCUUCGGCGGGUAGGGUCUCCGCGACCCUCCCGGCCUCCCGCCUCCGGGCGGGUCGGCGCCCGCCGGAGGAUAACCAAACUCUGAUUUAACGACGUGUCUUCUGAGUGGUACAAGCAAAUAAUCAAAACUUUUAACAACGGAUCUCGUGGGUCUGGCAUCGAUGAAGAACGCAGC
This 262-nucleotide unclassified non-coding RNA is filed under the name uncultured fungus. RNAcentral's name for it is "sequence contains ITS1, 5.8S rRNA gene". The stretch from base 214 to 262 matches the Rfam family "5.8S ribosomal RNA", at positions 1 to 49 of the family's 154-position model. The record is from RNAcentral. Lineage: Eukaryota; Fungi.